Molecule: ribosomal RNA, 828 nt
Filed under: Triticum aestivum (bread wheat)
Lineage: Eukaryota; Viridiplantae; Streptophyta; Magnoliopsida; Poales; Poaceae
Description: partial small subunit ribosomal RNA
Source: RNAcentral
CAAGCUACCAUUCGUACUUGCUCUAUUUGCGGGGUUGAGGAUAAGAGUACUUUCCACGCUCUUGUUUCUUGCCCAAAGGCUCGUGCACUUCGUUUGGCGUUGAGGAAAGUGUGGAAUUUGCCAGGGGAAUAGGCUUUCAAUUAUUCUGGACCUGACUGGUUACUUAUUUUAUUAGACCAGUUAAGUUGUUCGCAAAGGAAGCACAUCUUGUUUCUUUUAUGGCGAGCUUGGCACUUGAGGAAUGAUUUGAUUUGUGGGAAAGGAAAAGAAAUUGUUAAAGGAUACGUCAUGUUUUUGGAAAGUUACUGGUCGGCACUUUCGUCGUGUCAGCCUAUAAAUGAGGUAAUCACCAAUUACAAAGAAAAAAAGGUGGCGACUGGUUUUGGUGCAAGUAAUACUGUUGUGAGGUCCAGAGAGGUGUGGCAGCCACCUCCUUUUGGCCACAUCAAGAUCAAUGUCGAUGCAAAUUUUGUGGAGAGUUUAAGUGCCGCGAGUGUUGGGGUGGUGGUCAGGAACUUUAUUGGGUUAUGCUUUGGUGUGGAUGAAGCGGAGCUUCGAGCAUGCCUAGCUGGGCUUUAUAUCGGUAUUUCUCUUACCAUGCCUAUUAUCUUAGAAAUUGAUUGUGCGUUCGUGGCUCCUUUCCUAGCAAAUGAAAGUUGUGACAGAUCCUCGCUCAUAGACCUCAAGAAGGAAGCACUUAGCAUCAUCAGGCUUCUGGGAAACUUCAAGUUGUCAAAAAUAAAUAGAAGGGCCAAUUCAGUAGCGCAUGAGAUUGCUAAAUUUAGUUUUGAUAAUACUCCCUCCGUUUCUAAAUAUAAGUCUUUUUAG